GUAAAUAUAGUUUACUAAAACACUAGGCUGUGACCCUAGAGACAGAAGCCAUCCCUUCUUAUUUACC
This 67-nucleotide transfer RNA is filed under the name Timon lepidus (ocellated lizard). RNAcentral describes it as "tRNA-His". It matches the Rfam family "tRNA". Rfam says of the family: Transfer RNA (tRNA) molecules are approximately 80 nucleotides in length. Lineage: Eukaryota; Metazoa; Chordata; Lepidosauria; Squamata; Lacertidae. The record is from RNAcentral.